UACGAAGGGGGCUAGCGUUGCUCGGAUUGACUGGGCGUAAAGGGCGCGUAGGCGGUUUGUACAGUCAGACGUGAAAUCCUGGGCUCAACCUGGGGGCUGCGUUUGAUACGUGCGGACUUGAGUGCGGAAGAGGGUCGUGGAAUUCCCAGUGUAGAGGUGAAAUUCGUAGAUAUUGGGAAGAACACCGGUGGCGAAGGCGGCGACCUGGUCCGAUACUGACGCUGAGGUGCGAAAGCGUGGGGAGCAAACAGG
Molecule: ribosomal RNA, 252 nt
Filed under: uncultured bacterium
Lineage: Bacteria
Description: partial 16S ribosomal RNA
Rfam family: Bacterial small subunit ribosomal RNA
Source: RNAcentral